CAGGAUGUGGAUGCACAUUAGUCUUAUUGUUGGCUAUCCUCAUUAUAAGCUUUUUAGAAUACAUUUUUAGUUUGUCUUGUACAUUAUGUGGAAUUUUAAUUGUCAUUUUAAUCUGCGCUUCCAUGUCACUUUUGCAGAGCGGUUAAAUUGGCACUGAAUGGUUUUGAGAGGUUGCUUGCACUGGAGCACCAUCUUCAGAUAUGUGUCACUGCUUCAAUGAAAUGGGAGUUGUAGCUCCAAGCAAACCAGGAUGAGGCAACCUGAUUGAAAUGACCGGUUAUUUCAACACAAAGUAAAAGCCACGGUACCAUGUAGAAACAAGGAACCACCUAUGCUGAUUUAUGAAAGACAGCGCUGGAGUAGGUCUGGGUCGGGCAGCAUCUCGGGAGAACCUGGAUAGAUGAUGUUUUGGGUUGGCACCCUUCAGACAAGAGGUUUACAGCAACAACUGAUUACAAUGCAGUAGAUUCGGUGCUGGAAUCCGGAAUUUAAAAAUAUGAAGCAAAUAGUCAGCAGACCAAGGGGCAUCUUGGAGAGGAACAGUGAUGCCUUUUCAUUGUGACUGGUGAGUUCUGUUUUAUCAUUUCUGAAAGGUGUCCACCUGUGAUGUUAACUGACAUUUCUGCAGAAAUAAAAAUAAGACACAGUGGAAACUCAAUUGAUUGGGCAGCAUCUGUGGAAAGAUAAUAUUAUCGUUUGAAGACUUUGUUAAAACUGGGAAGCCGAGUUUUAAGUUGUAACCUAACUUUUCUGUCCAAUAUUGUCAAGGUCUUUGAUCCGAAAUGUUUAUUUUGACAGGUUUUGACUGGCCUGAGAAUGAAUUGGGGCUGAGAUGUUUUGAGUGCAUGUGACCAUUUACUAAGAUGUGGCUGAUCUGAUUGUAUGGUUUAACAGCUGAUCAUUCAUGACCAGCAGGAUCUUUAUUAACUAUUGUAAAGGAUUUGUGACGGGCAAAUUACCAAGUACGUACAAUCAUGGCAUAGGCUAUUCCUGGCUAUGAUAAUCAUUCUUGGAAGAUUAUAAACAGGACUUGGCACGGGCCACAGUGGUUUCAAUCCUCAAGUUGCCUGACUAAAAGACCUGUAACAUGCCAAUGAAUUGCAUUCUGACUGGCACAUCAAUGCAGUAUACCAGAUGUGUUGGUCUAGAAUUGAAUUAACUAUUUUCCACACAGGUAGCAGUGUUUUUCACCUAUAUAUAUGUGGCAUACGGAUUCUAUUGUUCCUGGGCACUUCUGCUUAAAUGUAUUGCCAGCUAAGAGCUGUCAAAUGCAAUGGCAGCAUUGGUCAGAACAUGACUGAUACCAACUGCACUGAUAUUGACAAUCCAGGAGUCACUAUUAUUGAUGCAAUCUUGAUGUUGUGAACCAGUUGCUGAGAUGCAUUGACUUGUUUGGCAGUGUUCGAACACAUCUGUAUGCUUGAGAAAUUCAACUGAUGUGAAAAAGUCAUCCUAAGUAAAAAAGAACUCUGCUAUUCAAUCUGCAGCACCUGCCAAGAUUAAUGAAGACAGCUCUAACUCAACGUUUCUCAACAUUUUUACCCUUGUGGAACCCUUGAAAUAAUUUUCGUGACUCCGGGAACCCCAACAUAAAAAUUAUUAUUUAUCUUUA
Amblyraja radiata (thorny skate) is the source of this 1612-nucleotide long non-coding RNA. RefSeq lists it as uncharacterized. The record is from RefSeq and is a predicted model, not a curated record. The transcript has 5 exons. NCBI's taxonomy places the organism in Eukaryota, Metazoa, Chordata, Chondrichthyes, Rajiformes, Rajidae.